Long non-coding RNA from Leopardus geoffroyi (Geoffroy's cat), 345 nucleotides. RefSeq lists it as uncharacterized. The transcript is spliced from 2 exons. The record is from RefSeq and is a predicted model, not a curated record. Lineage: Eukaryota; Metazoa; Chordata; Mammalia; Carnivora; Felidae.
ACAGCCACCGCCCGUCCCAGCUGAUGGGGCUGCACGGCGGUCACAAUGAGCGUCUGGAGAACCCGCUGGCAGAGCGGCCUUCCCGCGAGACUUCUGCAUCUCGUACCCGCAAACUGUGUGCCGCCCACAUUUCGCAGCAGCGGACGUGGGAGCAGCGUGCAGACUGAGACUCACAGGUUUUCCCUACAUGCCUGGGAUGCGGCGGUAACACGACCGACCAGGCUUCCGGAGGGCUGGGUUCUGUUUGGAGAGCUCUCCAGACACGGGUACUCACCAGGAAGCUCCUUCUGGCUCAGCUUUCCUGUAAACAGACAUGAGGGAGGAAAUCAACGGGCUCAGGGAGGU